This 757-nucleotide unclassified non-coding RNA is filed under the name Nilaparvata lugens (brown planthopper). RNAcentral's name for it is "zinc finger protein 569-like, transcript variant X2". Lineage: Eukaryota; Metazoa; Arthropoda; Insecta; Hemiptera; Delphacidae. The record is from RNAcentral.
UUCAAAUUUUAAUAUUAUCGGGUAUAUCGGCCUUAUCGGAUGAGGCAGAUUAAGGCUUAUCCGUAGCCGUAGGUUUACAGGUUUAGAUAUAACUUACGAAUCUUUUUGCAAAAACUUUGUAAAAUCAUUUCCAUUAUUUAACUCUAGAAGUCAUUCAUCAGUUACCGUAUCAUAAUUUUUUACAACGAUUUGAGUAUGUGCUUAUAAUAUAAAUUGAGCUGUUAAUAGUUUGACGUUGUACAGUUGAACUAUGUCAGACGAAACUGAAAUUAUUUGUAGGCUAUGUGGACUUUCGUGAAGACUGGGAAGAUUGGGAAAACAUCAAAUCGCAAACUUUGAACGUUUGCUGAGAGUCUGUGCCAAUCAUGAAUCCUAAUCAUCCUAUCCCGGAAUAAAUUAUCUUAGCCACAUCUCAAAUCUUUACUGGAGUUUUGCAAAGACCUAAUUUAAAAAUUGAACAAAAAAGAAAAAUUAAAUGAUGUCAAAGAUUUGCUCAAUCUAGUAUGUUUGCACCUAUGUAUUAAUUUGUUACGUAUUCUUCGUAUCCUAAAUUGAUUUUGUUGUAAUCUAAUGAAGUUUUCUAUUUUUCUAUUUCAUCAUAUUUGUGUAAUGAUAGUAUUUUCGCACUUCUGUAUUUGUUGAUUCAUGAAUAAACCGCAUAUACGUCAUAUACUAUAAUGACGUAUAAAGUUUUCUAUUUUUCUAUUUCAUCCUAUUUGUGGAAUGAUACGUUUUGUACUGAUUAAAACUAUUUCUA